RNAcentral lists this long non-coding RNA (1690 nucleotides) under Ananas comosus (pineapple). Its description in RNAcentral is "long non-coding RNA (ACOM_LNC000143)". The record is from RNAcentral. Lineage: Eukaryota; Viridiplantae; Streptophyta; Magnoliopsida; Poales; Bromeliaceae.
AAUUAGUCGAUUGAAUGACGAAGUAUAAUAGUAUUAUGAUUGAUGACAUGGUAAUAAUUUAAAUAUUAUAUUACUAUCAUUUCAACAAUAUAUUUGUGAAGCCUCAUUUUUCAUGGGGUCAACUAUUCUGACUCUAACAUGUUUAACUCUUUUAAUUUUUUGGACUUAAUCAUUGUCUAAAAUAUUAUAGCUGGAUUAAGAGGUUUAGUUCUAUUAUAUCUUAUAUAUAAGAUUAUUUCAAUUUUUGAGGUUUCAAGUUUAAACACGCUCAUAAGUAUCAACGAUAUGAGACUCAUCUCGCUAGCCUUAGUCUAUUUUAUAGAAAACUGCGCGUAUUAGCCAAUUUUAUGGGGAGUCGCGCUCUACCUACAAUAGUCAUCGGCCAGAAAAUCUCGCUCUGCUUGCUGUAUAACUCUGGCUUAACUGGGACUCAUCUCACACUUCCGACCGGUAAUUGAUUUUGAUACUAACUGUAACGCCCCAUUUCUCAGAGGGUUAUCUAUCCUAGAAUUAUUCAAGUCCUAGUAUACUUAACUCUUUAGACUUAGUUACUGCCCAAAAUGUUAUAUGUUACGUAUGGAAUUGCGAAAAAAUUGCGUUAUGUGCGGUGAGAAAGUACGAUGGAAAAAUAUUUUGUUUGUUUUCGUACGUAAUAUUACGUUCCAUAUAUCGCGAUUAGUCGGUUACGACAUAUUUUCUGCAGCCCCACCAGAGAACGCAGAAUCAUAUCCCUAUAUGCUUUUACCUCAACUUCAUUUUAUCUAAUAGCGUUAGAUAGAUCUUAAUAUCAAACUAAGCCAUAACCGGGUUAAGAGAAUUAGUCAUAUUAUAUAUCUUAUAAAUAGGGCUAUUCUAAUUCUAGAGUCUCACAAUAUUAUUAUCCAAUAAAUUAAAAUUAAACUAAAAAUAUUAAUUAAAUAAUUUUAAAAAUAAUUAAAUAAAAAAAUAAAAAAAAAGAAAUUAAGAAUUAAAUUGUAGCAAUUUGGCUUAUUAGCAACAAAAAAAAAAAAGAAGAAGAAAAGGUGUAAGAGCUCACCCUUCACCAAAAAAAAAAAAAAUAACCUGAAACGGUACCAAACCCCGCCCCUCGCUAACCACACCGGUGUGGUGACGUGGCAUUGCUUCGUUUUGUUUUCUCCUAAUUGCCCCUCGCUAAUCACACCGCUGUGGUGACGUGGCAUUUGAUUCAUUUUGUUUUCUCCUUAUUUUUGACUUGUGUGUAGUACGCCGAUUCAUCUCGAAGCGGCGACUUACCCGCCACGACUUGCUAAAGAAGAGCAACGCUACGCGUACCCCAAAAAGGUCCCCCCCAAUAUCUCCACAGCUAAUUAAUUAAAAAAAACUUCAAAUACUACUAUGUGGUUUCGCACUUUCUCACUUUACUAUUAUGUGAUUUAAAAUAUAUCACUUUCGUAUUAUAUGAUUUUAUUUUUAUCUUUUUAUUAUUUCUUUCACUAAUUUUUUCAUUAAAUCAAUGACAAAGUUAAAAACUGAAGGAUAUUAAAGUAAAUACUUGAUAAACCUAGAUGGUAUAUUCAAACUUUUUUUGCAUAUAAUUUAACAAAAUAUUAACGGAGGAGCUGACAAAAAAAAAUAAAAUUACAGGUACUAAAUUGAUAUACUUUAAACCACAUGAUACUAAAGUGAGUAAAUAUGAAACCAUAUGGGUGGUAUUUGAAGCUUACUUAAU